RNAcentral lists this long non-coding RNA (965 nucleotides) under Olea europaea (common olive). RNAcentral's name for it is "long non-coding RNA (OEUR_LNC013725)". Lineage: Eukaryota; Viridiplantae; Streptophyta; Magnoliopsida; Lamiales; Oleaceae. The record is from RNAcentral.
UUUUUUUUUUUUUUUUUUUUUUUUUUGGUUCUUAAAUUUACUUUGUUGUUGAAUGCAGACUGGCAAAGAUAUUGACAGGACUUCCAAGGUACCUGAACCAGAGGGAAGAAUUCUCAAUAAGAAAAUGGAUACUGCUCAAACAUGUAAUUCAAGACUUCAGUUGUUAACGGAACAGGGUAAUGAAAAUGGCUGUGCAAAGACGGGGUCGUUUAUGUUCUCAACGUCAUUGUUUGCUCCUAGUGGCGCACGUCAUUUGACUGUGUAUGCUGUCUGCUCGUUUCUAAUUAUAAUCCUGUCCAUAGUUUUCCUUGGGGUAUGGAAAUGUCCGAGCUUGCAUUCUGUGCAUAGUUAACGUGUCUACUUUAGUCUUUUGUUACUGAGGUCAUAGUUCUUUGCAUGGUUGCUUGUGUAAAUCGUAUGUAGGAAAUUUCACGUUGCAUCAUAAACUAAGCUCCUGUUUGAUUUAGCUAAAAAUUAGAUUUUUAGUAAAUUUUAACGAAGAUGAUGAUAUGUGGUUAAAAAGUUAUUAUUGUGAAUCUUGAAAUAUGUGGUUAAAAAGAGUUUUGAGGAAAAUGAGUGUUUUAAAAAGUGGGGGCCAAACUGGGGAUAAAUUAGUUAGGUCUUUACGUACUCUAGAUUUCCUUAUAGUUUGUUGGAUAAAUUUUCGUUUGUAUAAAAUAUGAUUGUUGACAAAAUUACCGCUUCUAUGUUAAGUAAAGCUUUUAGAUUAUAAAUAGUGAAUUCUACGGAAUGUAUGGAUAAAUAAACAAAUAAAAGUUGUUGAAUAUGAUGUUUGAUCAGCUUAUGAACUUGGUAUGGUUGCAGUAAGUACCAUUAUAACUUCAGUUUGCUCUCAACUACUUCCGGAAGCUUUCCACUUGGUUUUGGGACGUAGUCUAGAAGAAAAUAUGAGCGAGCAAGUUAUAACCACUAUUUUACUAGCAGGUUUAGGGUGUAGUUCGAGG